RNAcentral lists this long non-coding RNA (446 nucleotides) under Phoenix dactylifera (date palm). RNAcentral's name for it is "long non-coding RNA (PDAC_LNC007033)". The record is from RNAcentral. Lineage: Eukaryota; Viridiplantae; Streptophyta; Magnoliopsida; Arecales; Arecaceae.
AUCGUAGAUCUUGUAUUACGUUUUAUAAGAUGAACCAGUGUUUUUCAUAUAAUUUGAAUUGUAUGCAUGAUUAGUGAAGAAAUUAAGUAACCUGUUCUAAUCCUGUUAUGGAUCAUGUCAUGUUAUUAAUGUUCCCUCAGCAUUUUUUUUAAGUAUAUAUGUUUCAUGCAUGAUAUGUUACAAUGCAUAAGUAACUUGCAUGAUCCCAGAAGUUAUGGCUAUGUAUGCAACAUGAUGAUGCUGAUAUUUUAAUCAUGCAUGUAAGUUUAUAAAGUCUUAGCUAGCCCAGAGACACUAUAAUGGGCUCAAAGAUGCUACUGAGAAUGACUGAGCUUGCCCCGCCAGUGGCUGAAUAGUAACUGAGUCUGCCCCGCCAGUGGCUGAAUAGUAACUGGGCCUGCCCCGCCAGUGGCUGAAUAGUAACUGGGCCUGCCCCGCCAGUGGCU